CACGUAGGGCGCAAGCGUUGUCCGGAAUUAUUGGGCGUAAAGAGCUCGUAGGCGGUUUGUCGCGUCUGCUGUGAAAAUCCAGGGCUUAACCCUGGACCUGCAGUGGGUACGGGCAGACUGGAGUGCGGUAGGGGAGAUCGGAAUUCCUGGUGUAGCGGUGAGAUGCGCAGAUAUCAGGAGGAACACCGGUGGCGAAGGCGGAUCUCUGGGCCGUAACUGACGCUGAGGAGCGAAAGCAUGGGGAGCGAACAGG
RNAcentral lists this ribosomal RNA (253 nucleotides) under uncultured bacterium. RNAcentral describes it as "partial 16S ribosomal RNA". It matches the Rfam family "Bacterial small subunit ribosomal RNA", at positions 524 to 776 of the family's 1533-position model. The record is from RNAcentral.